AAGUGUGGCCAAUUUCCAAUCACAUCUGAGCCUGGAGGUUAAGUAGGAUUGAGCCUGCUUAGGACUUGGAUGAGAGACCACUUGGGAAUAUCAGAUGCCACAGUGA
This 106-nucleotide ribosomal RNA is filed under the name Periophthalmus magnuspinnatus. The record is from RNAcentral. Lineage: Eukaryota; Metazoa; Chordata; Actinopteri; Gobiiformes; Gobiidae.